RNAcentral lists this ribosomal RNA (516 nucleotides) under uncultured bacterium. RNAcentral's name for it is "bacterial SSU rRNA". It matches the Rfam family "Bacterial small subunit ribosomal RNA", at positions 29 to 518 of the family's 1533-position model. The record is from RNAcentral.
ACGAACGCUGGCGGCGUGCCUAAUACAUGCAAGUCGAACGGUCUUUCUAUGGAAGCUUGCUUCCACUGAGAAGAUAGUGGCGAACGGGUGAGUAACACGUGGGUAACCUGCCCAUAAGAGGGGGAUAACAUCCGGAAACGGGUGCUAAUACCGCAUAGUUUUCUUGAUCGCAUGAUCGGGAAAGGAAAGACGGCCUUUGUGCUGUCGCUUAUGGAUGGACCCGCGGCGUAUUAGUUAGUUGGUGAGGUAACGGCUCACCAAGACGAUGAUACGUAGCCGACCUGAGAGGGUGAUCGGCCACAUUGGGACUGAGACACGGCCCAAACUCCUACGGGAGGCAGCAGUAGGGAAUCUUCCGCAAUGGACGAAAGUCUGACGGAGCAACGCCGCGUGAGUGAAGAAGGUUUUCGGAAUCGUAAAACUCUGUUGUCAGAGAAGAACAAGUUGGAGAGUAACUGCUCCAGCCUUGACGGUAUCUGACCAGAAAGCCACGGCUAACUACGUGCCAGCAGCUGC